UUUGCUUAAAAUAAAAGGUCCAGCCUGCCCAGUGACACUGUUCAACGGCCGCGGUAUCCUAACCGUGCGAAGGUAGCGUAAUCACUUGUUCUUUAAAUGAGGACUAGUAUGAAAGGCACCACGAGAGUCAUACUGUCUCCUCUUUCCAAUCAGUUAAACUAAUCUCCCCGUGAAGAAGCGGGGAUAACUAUAUAAGACGAGAAGACCCUAUGGAGCUUUAAACGAAUAACACUUGCCCACCCCUCCUUUUACUUUCAGAAAAAUCUAUUACCUUGGCAUUAUACUUAUAAGUUUUUGAUUGGGGUGAUCACGGAACAAAAAAUAACCUCCGCAAUGAAAGACUCUCCAUAACUAAGUCAAGAACCACAACUCUACACAUCAACAAAUUGACACCAAUUGACCCAAUUUUUUGAUCAAUGAAC
This 422-nucleotide ribosomal RNA is filed under the name Adenomera andreae group sp. ABGD cluster 3. RNAcentral describes it as "partial large subunit ribosomal RNA". It matches the Rfam family "Bacterial large subunit ribosomal RNA", at positions 1835 to 2457 of the family's 2925-position model. The record is from RNAcentral. Lineage: Eukaryota; Metazoa; Chordata; Amphibia; Anura; Leptodactylidae.